GGGAAGUUGGCAGAGCGGUCUAUUGCGCCGGUCUUGAAAACCGUUGGAUGUUAAUAGCGUCCCCAGGGUUCGAAUCCCUGGCUUCCCGCCA
This 91-nucleotide transfer RNA is filed under the name Pseudomonas amygdali pv. lachrymans str. M301315. RNAcentral's name for it is "tRNA-Ser". It matches the Rfam family "tRNA". Rfam says of the family: Transfer RNA (tRNA) molecules are approximately 80 nucleotides in length. The record is from RNAcentral. Lineage: Bacteria; Pseudomonadati; Pseudomonadota; Gammaproteobacteria; Pseudomonadales; Pseudomonadaceae.